This 353-nucleotide long non-coding RNA is filed under the name Brachypodium distachyon (stiff brome). RNAcentral describes it as "long non-coding RNA (BDIS_LNC003907)". Lineage: Eukaryota; Viridiplantae; Streptophyta; Magnoliopsida; Poales; Poaceae. The record is from RNAcentral.
UAAUUUUGAUCCACUGGAUUGGGCGGGUCCCGGGCCUUCGCCCUUCUUGUCCUGGCCCAGGGCCGGCCCCAGACUCACCUGAACUCAAACAAAUUCCUUAGCACCCAAAGUCCUGAACACUUCGGCUAGCAGACAGAAUAACCGAAGCAACAGAUCGCCGGGCAAACAUGGGGUGAUAAAAAUGUCAUGCGGUACCAACAACCAGAGGUAUAUACAAGAUAUACGUAUAUACAAACCGCUCAUUUAUGCAUAUUAAUUCUACGACUUUCACUCUCUAGCUAGUCUCUACACAUCCAUCCCUUCAACGUUCUCCUUGACCACGAUCAUGUCGUCCAUCUCCUUUCCGCUGCUGC